GUCUCUCUGGUAAAACAAAAUGCAUUCAAUUACAUUAAUUUUUACUAAUUUCACUUUUCUCUGAAAAGUCCCUUCUGAUGUGGAGAGUGCAGCUGUGGAGCAGGAAGCCAAGAGCAGCCCGGAGAGAAAACAUCGGUGUUGGCGGAGUGGUGGGAGCUGUGGCAGGGCAGGAGGAGAGCAGGGAUGACAGCACAAGGAGGGCUCUGUGCUCCAUCUGGGAUUCUCACAGCUCCACCAGUUCCUGCAGGACUGAGGAGUCAACCUGGGGAGGGUGAGGCAGUUUCACUUGCAGGUGACAAGGGCACAGAUGGAAGUACCAGACCUUGCUGAUGGUUUUGGAGUGGGCUCAUGUGACAGCUCUGCAGCAGCCUCCUUGCAAUUGCUAAAGAGCAGCAAAUACUGAGGAGUGAGGUGUUGGAGUGAUUUUGUGCAACCUGAACUUGUUAGCUUGGUCAGUGUGUUUUCCUGUAAACGAAUGCUGCUUUGCAUACAGAAGACAGAAGAUUAAAAAAGAAGAAGGAAGAAAAAGCAGUGAUUGGGAUAAGAAGACCUGGAAAGACAAUAGUCAAGCAAAGAAACUGGCUGAAAAAUGUACAUGAAGGAUUUUGGAAACAAAAGAGUAUGAG
Long non-coding RNA from Meleagris gallopavo (turkey), 626 nucleotides. RefSeq lists it as uncharacterized. The record is from RefSeq and is a predicted model, not a curated record. Lineage: Eukaryota; Metazoa; Chordata; Aves; Galliformes; Phasianidae.